UGGAUGAUGUGGUUAAUUCGAUGCAACGCGAAAACCUUACCACCUUGACAUGUACGGAAUCCUUUAGAGAUAGAGGAGUGCUCGAAAGAGAGCCGUAACACAGGUGCUGCAUGGCUGUCGUCAGCUCGUGUCGUGAGAUGUUGGGUUAAGUCCCGCAACGAGCGCAACCCUUGUCAUUAGUUGCUACAUUCAGUUGGGCACUCUAAUGAGACUGCCGGUGACAAACCGGAGGAAGGUGGGGAUGACGUCAAGUCCUCAUGGCCCUUAUAGGUGGGGCUACACACGUCAUACAAUGGAUGGUACAAAGGGUCGCCAACCCGCGAGGGGGAGCCAAUCCCAUAAAGCCAUUCGUAGUCCGGAUCGCAGUCUGCAACUCGACUGCGUGAAGUCGGAAUCGCUAGUAAUCGUGGAUCAGAAUGUCCACGGUCGAAUACGUUCCCGGGCCUU
RNAcentral lists this ribosomal RNA (447 nucleotides) under uncultured Acidovorax sp. RNAcentral's name for it is "bacterial SSU rRNA". It matches the Rfam family "Bacterial small subunit ribosomal RNA", at positions 933 to 1382 of the family's 1533-position model. Lineage: Bacteria; Pseudomonadati; Pseudomonadota; Betaproteobacteria; Burkholderiales; Comamonadaceae. The record is from RNAcentral.